GACGAAGGGGGCAAGCGUUGUUCGGAAUUACUGGGCGUAAAGCGCGUGUAGGUGGUUGUCAUAGUCAGGCGUGAAAGCCUUGAGCUCAACUCAAGAAAUGCGCUUGAUACUGGGCAGCUAGAGGACCGGAGAGGAUAGUGGAAUUCCCAGUGUAGUGGUGAAAUACGUAGAGAUUGGGAAGAACACCAGUGGCGAAGGCGGCUAUCUGGACGGUUUCUGACACUAAGACUCGAAAGCGUGGGGAGCAAACAGG
This 253-nucleotide ribosomal RNA is filed under the name uncultured bacterium. RNAcentral's name for it is "partial 16S ribosomal RNA". It matches the Rfam family "Bacterial small subunit ribosomal RNA", at positions 524 to 776 of the family's 1533-position model. The record is from RNAcentral.